Long non-coding RNA from Felis catus (domestic cat), 1733 nucleotides. RefSeq lists it as uncharacterized. The record is from RefSeq and is a predicted model, not a curated record. The transcript is spliced from 3 exons. Lineage: Eukaryota; Metazoa; Chordata; Mammalia; Carnivora; Felidae.
UUCUCCUGGGAUUCUCCUGACUGCCUGUUGCCCUGGCAUUGCUGGAAAGCUCUAAACUACCUAAUACUCUGCUCUAAUCCUGUUCUGUGCAAACCAGCUUCAUUUUCUUCAGCAGCAGAAAGACCUUUGUGAGGAACAGGCAGAAGAAACUGAUUCAACUGAUUAAACACAGAAGAGAAUUGUCAUUUGGGUCCUUAUGGAGGAUGACAGGCCAGGCACACCUGCUCUAGCCUGGACUCUGGGACUGGAAGGACCAUUCAAAUCCCAGCCUGGCCACUUCCAAGCAGUGUGACCUUCAGCAGAUGGGAUGAACAGUGGUGCACGUUUCAUAGGAAUCUUGUGAUGAUUAAAAGCAGGUAAAAUGUGUAUUGCUGUCUGUGUGAACAGAAGCUCUCGAUAAGCCCAUCUGCUUUCGUUAUUCAUUGUCCAGUCUCGCCACUGGGAACUUCCAAGCUUUGUCCAGGGUAAUGUCACACUCCUGUCUCUCCCUUCUGGAAUCUGCUGGUGCUUAUUUGGGCUCUCCAAUCUCCCAGUAACACUUGCUAACACCUAAACAUAAAUCCGGGCACAGCCUAAAGCUCCCCAUUUGGCCUUUGAGGACUUUUCCUCCCCUACAUUCUAAGCAACUUUCUGUCAUUGAAGAACCUCCUCUCUUUGCCAAUCAAUUCCUCACUCCUGGUCUUCUCACUCCCUAUGUAGGCCAAAGUCUAGAUUGGAGAGGAAAUUUCCAUCAGGUUUAGAAAAUGUGAAAUGUGGUCAGCUUGGGGGAGGGAGGUGGGGAAGGAAGCAUGCCUAUUCCUUUAUUUUUUCCCCCAAAUAAACUCACGCCCUUGUAAAUUACUCCCUACCCUUGUGCAGUUUCUCAACCUUCUUUUAACUCCCUUUGAAAGAUGCAAGUAUCUCCCUCCACACCCCGCCGCCAGCUUAUUCAACAUUUCAACAUGAGUAGAACAAUCCAUGAUAGGAUUCGGCCAGGUGAGUGAGGGUAGAUGUGAUGGGCACCCCUUACAAGCCCCCAAAUGUCUCAUACAACCAUCCACACCCUUUCUUUCCGAGUUGGGCACUUGUAUAGAAAAGAUCUAAGGGAGAAUUUCAAGGAGGCCCUGGGGGCUGAUGGAGCUACAAGCUAGAAGGAGCCUGGAUCCCUGAGUUACUGCUUGGUGGAGACCGCCCAGGACAGCUGCCCAAUCCAGUGUGAGGUGAGGGAGUAAUGAAUCUUUGUUGGGUAAAAGCCACAGGUUUGGGAAUCCUAUGCUAUAGCUGCUAGUGUUCAUUAACCUUGUUAAUACAUUGUAGAAGUUCCUAGAACAUAAUAAGGGCUUAAAUGAAUGCCAGUUUUUAUUAAUAUUAUGUGGCCAAUCAGUCGAUAUUUAUUGACAGGUAUUAUCUUGUACAUUUCUCAUAACAUCUUAAGAGGUAGGUACCCAGGGCUUGCUCCCUCCCUCCUUUGGCCCUUUAUCUAUCUACAUUCUUCUCUCUGCCUGACCUGCUCCUUCCUCCCUUCCUCACGCAGUCAACCACUACUCAUUCUUCGCAUCACAGCUCAAAUGUGGUCUUACUCAUGAAAACCUUCCCUAACUCCUUAGACUUAGUCAGUGCCCCCAUUACAUGAUCUCAUAGACUCUAAAAAUUUUCCUACAGGUACUUAUCACAGUUUGUCAUUGCAUGACUAUUUAUAUAAUUCUUUGGUGACUGUCUCUCUUGCCCACCAUAGAGGAAGCACCAAGAGAGUA